Molecule: long non-coding RNA, 290 nt
Organism: Pristis pectinata (smalltooth sawfish)
Lineage: Eukaryota; Metazoa; Chordata; Chondrichthyes; Rhinopristiformes; Pristidae
Exons: 3
Source: RefSeq, a predicted model, not a curated record
GGCGAGUCUCUCUCUUUCCGAGUUUAGCAGAGUGAGAGGUGGUUUCCUCCACCCACAAGUCCUACAGGGAGAGGAAGGCUGAGGGUCUCAGAACAAGGAGGGGACUGAGGCAAGGGGAAACUCCUUUACGCAAAGGAAGAUCUGUCUUCUCAAGUUCUCCCCUCUUAUUGCCAGGUCAAUUCUGGCCUUAACAUUGUGUUUUCCUCUAUUCUGGGAAGAGAACAAUUAGCUCACACAACAUGUUGAUGAACCCCUCAUGACAUCAAGGGCGGCAAAAGAAGCUGACACAG